Molecule: long non-coding RNA, 2056 nt
Filed under: Coffea arabica (coffee)
Lineage: Eukaryota; Viridiplantae; Streptophyta; Magnoliopsida; Gentianales; Rubiaceae
Description: long non-coding RNA (CARA_LNC004974)
Source: RNAcentral
AACGUAAACUUAUAUAUAUUUCUAUCUCAAAAGCAACACAACUCAAGUACAAAGGUUCUCCUUUCUCCAUACAACCAGCCCGCCAACCGCUAGGACAAGAACCAUUACAAAAGAAAUAUCAAAACUAGACCAAACUAGUCUAUACGGAGCUCUCGUCCUUGCGCGCCUUCCCCUGUUAAGGAAAACAACUAAAGGGAUAAGCUAAAAGCUCAGUGAGGUUCUGAACACAUAAACAAACAAUAAACUCAAAGCAUAGAACACCAAUAAUUCAAGUAACAUUUACAAUAUAAAGCGGUAACAUAUUCAUUAAAGGAUACGUGCUCACAAGGAGCCAUUCAUUCAUUCGUUCAUUCAUUCAUUCUCCUUUCAUUCCUUUAUUCCUCCAAUCAUUUGAAAAUGCAUCUUUGUAAGUAAAAACCCUCGUUCAUUCAUUCGUUCAUUCAUUUCAUUCACUCCCUUCCCGGACAUUGACCAGGCUCCACCAAACUUCAAGGUAAUACUCGAGUAUACCAAACGUUCACCCAAGUCACCAAAUCGCCAGACCGAGUUCGCUUCUGGCUCGAGUCGAUCGGUAACAAGGGGCAAGGCCCAGUUCAGCCAGAAGGCUUACAUUCAUGCACAAGUAACACUUCAAUCGUUCCAUCAUUGAAAACUUCACAAUCAUUUAGGCCGAGUGCGAUGAAGUACACACUCGCCUAAAAACUUGUUUUAGCAAUCAUUGAAAGCAUUUAACAUGUUAUCAAUUAUUCAGACAAGCCAUAUAAUCAAGAAAUAUAACAAACAAGGAACACUCACCUAGUUAUGCAAAAUAACGUCCAAAAUAUCCUACCGGGUAUUACCCUCAGUUACCAAUGAAACUUAAAAUUAAACAAGAGAAACUAUUACAGUUUAUCUAGCAAAACAAUUAAGGGAAAUUGAAGGAACCUGACUAAUUACGAAUACAACAUAUAAAGAUGACUUUCAAGUGAAAAGAGAGCAUUUGGAUUCCGUGGACGGGAAUAAUUAGGGUUUCAUAAACCAAACGAGAAACUAAACUCAAAAGAGUUAUAAAAGUUCCAACGGAAAACACUUGGACCAAAUACAAGUCGGAAUCCAACUAGAUAGGCUAAGAAAUAUUGUUUUCAGAAUCGCUUAUGUGGUUCAAAAUCAACUCAUAUUUGAGUAGAUAUUAGUUUUCAAAUAUCUCAAUGAAAAUCAUGUAAAAAGGAAGACACUAAAAGCCUUACUUUGAAAGUAGUUUCCCGUAACCAAGAAAACCCCAAUUCAUACCUCUUUAUUUUGGUAAACAGUAAGUAAACGUUGGAAGUGUCAAACUGGAGAGGUAUUAUAUUUUAGAAUGGUAAAAUGGUCAUGAUAUUCAUUAAGCAGAAAUAUAGGAGUUCAAAUAGAAAAUAGCUUCUCGAACACCCUUCGAGAGCACAAAUGUAGUUUUCAAAGAAGUACAUUCAAUUUGACACAAAAAUUACAUUUUCACAUUCACUGGAACUUACUCACAAUUCACGAAAGUAAACGGACGGCAUUUCCCCUUAAAUUCUUUAUUUCACCUUACAAUCAAAAUACCCAACCUUACAAGAAUUAACCACAAUCACAAAUUCGGUUUAUAAACAAUAAAACACAUCCAAUUGGGUCACAAUAUCCCUCAAUUAAAGCCAAUUAGAAGUUCAAAAGCCAACUAUUAGAAAACCCCCAAUUUAAACCCUAGAAACCGGAAUUUAUCCCAACAAGCGUAAAUUUUCCGCAAACGAUUGUAAUUAACGAAUAAAGUUGCAAUUAACACCAUUUAGAGCUAUCAAAUCAAAGCCAAUCCAUGACUAUUAUAUAAAAUCGGAAAAAUCCCCAAUAAAUCAGAAAAUGGCCCAACUUGACCUAAAACCAUGAAAUCAUCCACAAUAUAACAAUCUUAACCACUAGAAACGACCAUGAUAUCAUUAUUAAGAUCAAGGAGAAAGUUCCUUAGCAUCUCACCUUAAUCCCAAGAAAGAUAGCACCUUAAAGCUUUUCCCUUCAAAAUCACUCCACCAAGAGUUUUAAUCCCUCUUAACUAACACUUGUACGG